RNAcentral lists this ribosomal RNA (206 nucleotides) under uncultured bacterium. Its description in RNAcentral is "partial 16S ribosomal RNA". It matches the Rfam family "Bacterial small subunit ribosomal RNA", at positions 568 to 774 of the family's 1533-position model. The record is from RNAcentral.
CACGUAGGCGGACCGACAAGUCGGGGGUGAAAUCCCGGGGCUCAACCCCGGAACUGCCUCCGAAACUGUCGGUCUGGAGGUCGAGAGAGGCGAGUGGAAUUCCGAGUGUAGAGGUGAAAUUCGUAGAUAUUCGGAGGAACACCAGUGGCGAAGGCGGCUCGCUGGCUCGAUACUGACGCUGAGGUGCGAAAGCGUGGGAGCAAACA